GACGAACGCUGGCGGCGUGCUUAACACAUGCAAGUCGAACGAAGAGCGGUGGAAGCUUGCUUCUAUCAAUCUUAGUGGCGAACGGGUGAGUAACGCGUAAUCAACCUGCCCUUCAGAGGGGGACAACAGUUGGAAACGACUGCUAAUACCGCAUACGAUCCAAUCUCGGCAUCGGGACUGGAUGAAAGGUGGCCUCUAUUUAUAAGCUAUCACUGAAGGAGGGGAUUGCGUCUGAUUAGCUAGUUGGAGGGGUAACGGCCCACCAAGGCGAUGAUCAGUAGCCGGUCUGAGAGGAUGAACGGCCACAUUGGGACUGAGACACGGCCCAGACUCCUACGGGAGGCAGCAGUGGGGAAUCUUCCGCAAUGGACGAAAGUCUGACGGAGCAACGCCGCGUGAGUGAUGACGGCCUUCGGGUUGUAAAGCUCUGUUAAUCGGGACGAAUGGUUCUUGUGCGAAUAGUGCGAGGAUUUGACGGUACCGGAAUAGAAAGCCACGGCUAACUACGUG
RNAcentral lists this ribosomal RNA (510 nucleotides) under uncultured bacterium. RNAcentral's name for it is "partial 16S ribosomal RNA". It matches the Rfam family "Bacterial small subunit ribosomal RNA", at positions 28 to 507 of the family's 1533-position model. The record is from RNAcentral.